UAGGGAAUCUUCCGCAAUGGGCGAAAGCCUGACGGAGCAACGCCGCGUGAGUGAUGAAGGUCUUCGGAUCGUAAAACUCUGUUAUUAGGGAAGAACAAAUGUGUAAGUAACUAUGCACGUCUUGACGGUACCUAAUCAGAAAGCCACGGCUAACUACGUGCCAGCAGCCGCGGUAAUACGUAGGUGGCAAGCGUUAUCCGGAAUUAUUGGGCGUAAAGUGCGCGUAGGCGGUUUUUUAAGUCUGAUGUGAAAGCCCACGGCUCAACCGUGGAGGGUCAUUGGAAACUGGAAAACUUGAGUGCAGAAGAGGAAAGUGGAAUUCCAUGUGUAGCGGUGAAAUGCGCAGAGAUAUGGAGGAACACCAGUGGCGAAGGCGACUUUCUGGUCUGUAACUGACGCUGAUGUGCGAAAGCGUGGGGAUCAAACAGG
RNAcentral lists this ribosomal RNA (429 nucleotides) under Actinomycetes bacterium. RNAcentral's name for it is "Actinobacteria bacterium partial 16S ribosomal RNA". It matches the Rfam family "Bacterial small subunit ribosomal RNA", at positions 355 to 776 of the family's 1533-position model. The record is from RNAcentral. Lineage: Bacteria; Bacillati; Actinomycetota; Actinomycetes.